GUGUUGAAUUUCAUAUUUCCCAUGCUAGGUCUCAUGUUUUGCAUCUUAUAUGCACUAAAUUGAAUCCAUGGGAGAGGUUUUUGAGGUUGGAGUUGAGUUUUAUUUCAGAAAAUUCGUGCAUCAUAUGAAUAUGCAUAACUGUGUUUUGAGCAAAGUUGAAUCUGUCCUGUUUUUGACAAUUUUUUCUCAUUGACACACUAACCAUUUUAUUUUCUGAUAAUUUUACUGGAGAUGUCUCUAUGUGUUUAUCUUGUUCUGUAAAAAUUUCAGAAUUUUCUGAGAAGUGUGGAAAAAGAUAAAAAUCAUAAACUAAGCUGUGGUCGGAUUGCUGGUUUUGUGCAAACAGCUUACAGAUCUUUGUUAUGCAUCAUUUUUUUUACAGUUAAACAAUGAUCCUGGUUAUGAGUCCUUAUGAGUCUUAAAUAUUGAUAAGUUGAUGAUAUUUUGAAGUUAGAAUUACUGAAAAGUAUGAAGUAUUCGAUUUUUAAUGAAUUUUCGAACACGGACUGUUCUGCUAGAAAUUGUGCUUCACUGCACAGGAUUUCUGAGUUUGGAGGUGAUUUUGACUAGGUUCCUUUAUUGUGAAAAAUCUGGAAAAAAUAAGGGAUGAACUUUGAUGAUUGAUAAUGGUGUGUACCAAAUUUGGCGUUUAUUAGAUGCAUAUUCUAAGUUUGGCAGAUUUUACAAGUUUGUGUGUGUCUGCUGAGUUUUGUAUUUGCAGCACUGACACGUUUUGGGAAAAUGGUCAUAACUCUUAGCUCGGGUAUCGGGUUUACGCACGGGUUAUUGAUUCUGAAACUAGACUCAUAUACCUUUCGGAAUAUGUAGGAGUGGUGGCUUAGUUUGUGAUAGGUUAAAUCAGUUUUUGAAUUGAAGUUCAUGGACGUGCAAAAUCUGCAAUUUUGGGCAGUGGUGUGUGUAACUUCGGACGAGAAUAACUUUGUCGUUCGGACACCGUUUUAGGCAAAUUUUAUAUCAAAAUUCAUGUACCAAAAGUCUACUUUCUAAUGGUAGUGGUCACAUUACCUGGUUCUAAAUCAAUAAGAAGUUAUGGCCAAAAUACGACAGCUGGUCAUAAGCUUACAAACCGAUUUUAAGAGUUAAGUCGUGUUUGUACUUUGUGCUUGUCUUGGGACACUUCUAGGUCUUUAAGAUGGACAUGUUUAUAUUCGUUGGACAUUGUUUAAUUCAUUGAUGGCUUUCUAGUUGAAUGUUGAGCAUUGGUUUAUACAUAAAAGCAUUCAAUAGCUUAUAUGGUUAGCGUGUGGCUAGGUGGCAAGUCAGGCAAUUGGGAGGUGCCAAAACCGUAAGUUUGGCGUACCUCAGUCGAUAUAAGGUAGCAGGUUGCGUAGAGUGGGUCCACUACCGGUCAUCGUGUUGAGAAGUGUUUGGGCUAGCAUUGGAUGAUGUGGAUGAGCGAGUUGGUUGUAG
This is a long non-coding RNA of Rhododendron vialii, 1431 nucleotides long. RefSeq lists it as uncharacterized. The transcript has 2 exons. The record is from RefSeq and is a predicted model, not a curated record. NCBI's taxonomy places the organism in Eukaryota, Viridiplantae, Streptophyta, Magnoliopsida, Ericales, Ericaceae.